UAUUUAUUAGAUAACAGACCAAUAUUCCUCGUGUCUAUUGUGGUGACUCAUAGUAACUGAUCGGAUCGCAUGGCCUUGUGCCGCGACUAACCAUUCAAGUUUCUGACCCAUCAGCUUUCGAUGGUAGUGUAUUGGACUACCAUGGCUUUCACGGGUAACGGAGGAUUAGGGUUCGAUUCCGGAGAGGGAGCCUGAGAAACGGCUACCACAUCUAAGGAAGGCAGCAGGCGCGUAAAUUACCCAAUCCUGACUCGGGGAGGUAGUGACAAGAAAUAACGGGUCGGGGCAUUCGCCUCGGGAUUGCAAUGAAUCGAAUUUACACCCCUUAAUGAGGAUCAAUUGGAGGGCAAGUCUGAUGCCAGCAGCCGCGGUAAUUCCAGCUCCAAUAGCGUAUAUUAAAGUUGCUGCAGUUAAAAAGCUCGUAGUUUGAUUUCUGGACGGGCGCCAACACCCGCUUGUUUAGUGUGGAGGCGGCGCCCGCCCAUCCUUCUGUUAACGCCACCGGCAUUCGUUUGCUGGCGGCGGGCUCAGAUAUUUUACCUUGAGAAAAUUAGAGUGUUUCAGGCAGGCUUGCGC
This 576-nucleotide ribosomal RNA is filed under the name uncultured eukaryote. RNAcentral describes it as "SSU rRNA". It matches the Rfam family "Eukaryotic small subunit ribosomal RNA", at positions 203 to 794 of the family's 1831-position model. The record is from RNAcentral.